This is a long non-coding RNA of Serinus canaria (Common canary), 628 nucleotides long. RefSeq lists it as uncharacterized. NCBI's taxonomy places the organism in Eukaryota, Metazoa, Chordata, Aves, Passeriformes, Fringillidae. The record is from RefSeq and is a predicted model, not a curated record. The transcript has 2 exons.
GGUGCUGCGCCCGGCGGAGGCCAUAGGCCAGGCGGGGGCCAUGGUCAGUGUGGGGAGCCGUGGUCAGUGUAUGGGCCAUGGUCAGUGCGGGGAGCCGUGGACAAUGUAUGGGCCAUGGUCAGUGUGGGGGGCCAUGGUCAGUGCGGGGCCACGGUCCAUUCGGGUGUGUGGGGAACUACUGUGGCCGUGUGCGUCCGUGCAGGGCAGCGUGAGCGCGCAGAGCAGGUGCUGUGGCUGUGUGUGUGCCCCAGCGCUUCGUUGCGCCGUGCGGGGACACCACGGGCUCUUGACACGCCCUUGGACACAGGGCCUGCGACAGGCACAGGUUUCCAACAUGGAAGCCCAGCCUCACAUGGAAUCCUUUCUGGACUCAGGUCCCUAGGUUUUGGAGCAAGGACCCUCCCGAGAUACCAGGGGCUGCACUUCACACUCGUGUAAUUCCCUCCCAGGAAGGCACUGAAACUGGAGGGGCUGCUCAGGGUCUUUAUUGCUGCUCUGGCAUGUUGCUUGCUCCAAACCAUGGGGACAUUGGCAACUCCAGAGCCCGACAGAGAGGAGGGGACAGGAAUGGGGACUGGAAUGAGCAGACGCCUUCUCCCCAAAAUCAAUAAAUAAAGCCCUAUCACUA